This 876-nucleotide ribosomal RNA is filed under the name Latilactobacillus sakei. RNAcentral describes it as "bacterial SSU rRNA". It matches the Rfam family "Bacterial small subunit ribosomal RNA", at positions 256 to 1123 of the family's 1533-position model. The record is from RNAcentral. Lineage: Bacteria; Bacillati; Bacillota; Bacilli; Lactobacillales; Lactobacillaceae.
GGUAAAGGCUCACCAAGACCGUGAUGCAUAGCCGACCUGAGAGGGUAAUCGGCCACACUGGGACUGAGACACGGCCCAGACUCCUACGGGAGGCAGCAGUAGGGAAUCUUCCACAAUGGACGAAAGUCUGAUGGAGCAACGCCGCGUGAGUGAAGAAGGUUUUCGGAUCGUAAAACUCUGUUGUUGGAGAAGAAUGUAUCUGAUAGUAACUGAUCAGGUAGUGACGGUAUCCAACCAGAAAGCCACGGCUAACUACGUGCCAGCAGCCGCGGUAAUACGUAGGUGGCAAGCGUUGUCCGGAUUUAUUGGGCGUAAAGCGAGCGCAGGCGGUUUCUUAAGUCUGAUGUGAAAGCCUUCGGCUCAACCGAAGAAGUGCAUCGGAAACUGGGAAACUUGAGUGCAGAAGAGGACAGUGGAACUCCAUGUGUAGCGGUGAAAUGCGUAGAUAUAUGGAAGAACACCAGUGGCGAAGGCGGAUGUCUGGUCUGUAACUGACGCUGAGGCUCGAAAGCAUGGGUAGCAAACAGGAUUAGAUACCCUGGUAGUCCAUGCCGUAAACGAUGAGUGCUAGGUGUUGGAGGGUUUCCGCCCUUCAGUGCCGCAGCUAACGCAUUAAGCACUCCGCCUGGGGAGUACGACCGCAAGGUUGAAACUCAAAGGAAUUGACGGGGGCCCGCACAAGCGGUGGAGCAUGUGGUUUAAUUCGAAGCAACGCGAAGAACCUUACCAGGUCUUGACAUCCUUUGACCACUCUAGAGAUAGAGCUUUCCCUUCGGGGACAAAGUGACAGGUGGUGCAUGGUUGUCGUCAGCUCGUGUCGUGAGAUGUUGGGUUAAGUCCCGCAACGAGCGCAACCCUUAUUACUAGUUGCCAGCA